This 305-nucleotide ribosomal RNA is filed under the name uncultured bacterium. Its description in RNAcentral is "bacterial SSU rRNA". It matches the Rfam family "Bacterial small subunit ribosomal RNA", at positions 335 to 657 of the family's 1533-position model. The record is from RNAcentral.
UUACCUACGGGGGGCAGCAGUGGGGGAUAUUGCACAAUGGGGGGAACCCUGAUGCAGCGACGCCGCGUGGGUGAAGAAGCGCCUCGGCGCGUAAAGCCCUGUCAGCAGGGAAGAAAAUGACGGUACCUGACUAAGAAGCUCCGGCUAAAUACGUGCCAGCAGCCGCGGUAAUACGUAUGGAGCAAGCGUUAUCCGGAUUUACUGGGUGUAAAGGGAGCGCAGGCGGCUUUGCAAGUCUGAUGUGAAAGGCCAGGGCUCAACCCUGGGACUGCAUUGGAAACUGUAAAGCUAGAGUGCCGGAGAGG